This 451-nucleotide ribosomal RNA is filed under the name uncultured bacterium. RNAcentral's name for it is "partial 16S ribosomal RNA". It matches the Rfam family "Bacterial small subunit ribosomal RNA", at positions 29 to 523 of the family's 1533-position model. The record is from RNAcentral.
AACGAACGCUGGCGGCAGGCUUAACACAUGCAAGUCGAACGGGUGUAGCAAUACAUCAGUGGCAGACGGGUGAGUAACACGUGGGAACCUUCCUAGGGGUACGGAACAACUCAGGGAAACUUGAGCUAAUACCGUAUACGUCCGUGAGGAGAAAGAUUUAUCGCCCUUAGACGGGCCCGCGUCGGACUAGCUAGUUGGUGGGGUAACGGCCUACCAAGGCGACGAUCCGUAGCUGAUCUUAGAGGAUGAUCAGCCACACUGGGACUGAGACACGGCCCAGACUCCUACGGGAGGCAGCAGUGGGGAAUCUCGGACAAUGGGCGCAAGCCUGAUCCAGCCAUGCCGCGUGAGUGAAGAAGGUCUUCGGAUUGUAAAGCUCUUUUGCCAGGGACGAUAAUGACGGUACCUGGAGAAUAAGCCCCGGCAAACUUCGUGCCAGCAGCCGCCGUAA